AGUGAACGCUGGCGGUAGGCCUAACACAUGCAAGUCGAACGGCAGCACAGGAGAGCUUGCUCUCUGGGUGGCGAGUGGCGGACGGGUGAGGAAUACAUCGGAAUCUACUUUUUCGUGGGGGAUAACGUAGGGAAACUUACGCUAAUACCGCAUACGACCUACGGGUGAAAGCAGGGGACCUUCGGGCCUUGCGCGAUUGAAUGAGCCGAUGUCGGAUUAGCUAGUUGGCGGGGUAAAGGCCCACCAAGGCGACGAUCCGUAGCUGGUCUGAGAGGAUGAUCAGACACACUGGAACUGAGACACGGUCCAGACUCCUACGGGAGGCAGGAGUGGGGAAUAUUGGACAAUGGGCGCAAGCCUGAUCCAGCCAUACCGCGUGGGUGAAGAAGGCCUUCGGGUUGUAAAGCCCUUUUGUUGGGAAAGAAAUCCAGCUGGCUAAUACCCGGUUGGGAUGACGGUACCCAAAGAAUAAGCACCGGCUAACUUCGUGCCAGCCGCCGCAGUAA
This 506-nucleotide ribosomal RNA is filed under the name uncultured bacterium. Its description in RNAcentral is "partial 16S ribosomal RNA". It matches the Rfam family "Bacterial small subunit ribosomal RNA", at positions 29 to 523 of the family's 1533-position model. The record is from RNAcentral.